Molecule: ribosomal RNA, 429 nt
Filed under: Verrucomicrobiota bacterium
Lineage: Bacteria; Pseudomonadati; Verrucomicrobiota
Description: Verrucomicrobia bacterium partial 16S ribosomal RNA
Rfam family: Bacterial small subunit ribosomal RNA
Source: RNAcentral
UGGGGAAUCUUCCGCAAUGGACGAAAGUCUGACGGAGCAACGCCGCGUGAGUGAAGACGGCCUUCGGGUUGUAAAGCUCUGUGAUCCGGGACGAAAGAGCCUGAGGUUAAUAGCCUUAGGAAGUGACGGUACCGGAAAAGCAAGCCACGGCUAACUACGUGCCAGCAGCCGCGGUAAUACGUAGGUGGCAAGCGUUGUCCGGAAUUAUUGGGCGUAAAGCGCGCGCAGGCGGCUUCCUAAGUCCAUCUUAAAAGUGCGGGGCUUAACCCCGUGAUGGGAUGGAAACUGGGAAGCUGGAGUAUCGGAGAGGAAAGUGGAAUUCCUAGUGUAGCGGUGAAAUGCGUAGAGAUUAGGAAGAACACCGGUGGCGAAGGCGACUUUCUGGACGAAAACUGACGCUGAGGCGCGAAAGCGUGGGGAGCAAACAGG